UACGUAGGGGGCAAGCGUUGUCCGGAAUCAUUGGGCGUAAAGAGCGCGUAGGCGGCCCUGUAAGUCGGCUGGGAAAGUCAAGGGCUCAACCCUUGGAUGCCGGUGGAUACUGCAGGGCUAGAGUCCGGAAGAGGCGAGUGGAAUUCCUGGUGUAGCGGUGAAAUGCGCAGAUAUCAGGAGGAACACCGAUGGCGAAGGCAGCUCGCUGGGACGGUACUGACGCUGAGGCGCGAAAGCUAGGGGAGCAAACGGG
This 253-nucleotide ribosomal RNA is filed under the name uncultured bacterium. RNAcentral's name for it is "partial 16S ribosomal RNA". It matches the Rfam family "Bacterial small subunit ribosomal RNA", at positions 524 to 776 of the family's 1533-position model. The record is from RNAcentral.